GCUGUAUGUUCAAACCUGAGGCCUUAAAUAGAAACACACAAGUAUCUGAUUGAAGGAACUUCUGCAGAGUCCUGGUUCCAGAACAUGAUGAUAGAAUUAUAGACAAACUUUAACAAAAGCUGCCUGAGAGUUUACAGCUUUUUAUGUUAGAUUUCUUCAGUAAUUUAAUGAGUUAUCAGCAAAAAUCAAGUGUUCAUUUGAUGAACUUCAUUUCCUAAAACAUCCAGAAUUGGAGCUCAUAUCUUUGGCAGCUGUAAAGUUUCUGCUCCUUCAAAGUUCACAACACAAUGAAUGAAUUCCUAAAACACUCUCAAUGCUGGAGAGCUUUUGAUGCUGAAGCAGUGACCAGUUUUUCUGUUUCUUCUCUGGAGAUGCACAAUGAGGGACGUCUGCAGAGACUGAGAAAGAGUCUCACCACAUCCUGACAUGAGGAAAAAGACUUUAUUGAAGACUACAAUGAGAAAAACUAUCAGACAGCAGACGGCUGCAUUCAAGUCUGUAGCUGCUGAAUUCAUGGAUGAAUCAUCUGGCACUAGAGAGGAAGACCAUCAAACAUCCAUGUCAGCUGAUGGAGGUCCAAGAGUCUCACCCAACAAACAACCUACAGAGUGAAGACCUCCAAUCUGAUUGGACGGCCUCCUAUUCAGCCACACGCUGUUAGAUUGUUCCAGAUAAGACAAGUACAAGAUUCUUCAGAGCCGUUCUACCACGAGCCUGACAGGAAGAACUCCAACAGCUACUGAAUGUUCCUGUGGU
Molecule: long non-coding RNA, 756 nt
Organism: Amphiprion ocellaris (clown anemonefish)
Lineage: Eukaryota; Metazoa; Chordata; Actinopteri; Pomacentridae
Source: Ensembl